UGAAAAGCGUUGACGAGAAUGAGUAGGCAUUUAUCUUUUAGUCAGAGAGGAAGUGGUUGGUGAGAACUUCUUAAAAGAGAUGUUGAAGCUAUCUUUGAGCUAUAAUUUUUAGAGUGAUGUAGUUUUACAUAAUUAGGGUGGUACCGCGGAGCAUAGGAUUUCGUCCCUUUU
This 171-nucleotide non-coding RNA is filed under the name Clostridium perfringens. RNAcentral describes it as "T-box sequence". It matches the Rfam family "T-box leader". Rfam says of the family: Uncharged tRNA acts as the effector for transcription antitermination of genes in the T-box leader family. T-boxes are found upstream of many aminoacyl-tRNA synthetase genes and some amino acid biosynthetic genes usually in Gram-positive bacteria. The record is from RNAcentral. Lineage: Bacteria; Bacillati; Bacillota; Clostridia; Eubacteriales; Clostridiaceae.